GCGGGCGUGGUGAAAUUGGUAAACACAACGGACUUAAAAUCCGUCGCUCGGAAACGAGCUUGCCGGUUCGAUGCCGGCCGCCCGCACCA
This 89-nucleotide transfer RNA is filed under the name Aquabacterium sp. Its description in RNAcentral is "tRNA-Leu". It matches the Rfam family "tRNA". Rfam says of the family: Transfer RNA (tRNA) molecules are approximately 80 nucleotides in length. RNAcentral also lists the same sequence under 1 other name. The record is from RNAcentral. Lineage: Bacteria; Pseudomonadati; Pseudomonadota; Betaproteobacteria; Burkholderiales; Sphaerotilaceae.